RNAcentral lists this ribosomal RNA (484 nucleotides) under uncultured bacterium. RNAcentral describes it as "partial 16S ribosomal RNA". It matches the Rfam family "Bacterial small subunit ribosomal RNA", at positions 30 to 507 of the family's 1533-position model. The record is from RNAcentral.
AUUGAACGCUGGCGGCAGGCCUAACACAUGCAAGUCAAGCGGAUGAAGGGAGCUUGCUCCUGGAUUCAGCGGCGGACGGGUGAGUAAUGCCUAGGAAUCUGCCUGGUAGUGGGGGAUAACGUCCGGAAACGGGCGCUAAUACCGCAUACGUCCUGAGGGAGAAAGUGGGGGAUCUUCGGACCUCACGCUAUCAGAUGAGCCUAGGUCGGAUUAGCUAGUUGGUGGGGUAAAGGCCUACCAAGGCGACGAUCCGUAACUGGUCUGAGAGGAUGAUCAGUCACACUGGAACUGGGACACGGUCCAGACUCCUACGGGAGGCAGCAGUGGGGAAUAUUGGACAAUGGGCGAAAGCCUGAUCCAGCCAUGCCGCGUGUGUGAAGAAGGUCUUCGGAUUGUAAAGCACUUUAAGUUGGGAGGAAGGGCAGUAAGUUAAUACCUUGCUGUUUUGACGUUACCAACAGAAUAAGCACCGGCUAACUUCGUG